ACGAACGCUGGCGGCGUGCUUAACACAUGCAAGUCGAACGGUGAAGCGCCUUCCUUUUUGGUGGGUGUGGAUGAGUGGCGAACGGGUGAGUAACACGCGAGUAACCUGCCCCCUUCUUCUGGAUAACCGCAUGAAAGUGUGGCUAAUACGGGAUAUUCUGGGUCUGUCGCAUGAUGGGUCUGGGAAAGAUAUUGUUUCGGUGGGGGAUGGGCUCGCGGCCUAUCAGCUUGUUGGUGGGGUGAUGGCCUACCAAGGCGGUGACGGGUAGCCGGCCUGAGAGGGUGGACGGUCACACUGGGGCUGAGACACGGCCCAGACUCCUACGGGAGGCAGCAGUGGGGAAUAUUGCACAAUGGGCGCACGCCUGAUGCAGCGACGCCGCGUGAGGGAUGGAGGCCUUCGGGUUGUGAACCUCUUUCGCCAGUGAAGCAGGCCUGCCUCGUUUGUGGGUGGGUUGACGGUAGCUGGAUAAGAAGCGCCGGCUAACUACGUG
RNAcentral lists this ribosomal RNA (493 nucleotides) under uncultured bacterium. Its description in RNAcentral is "partial 16S ribosomal RNA". It matches the Rfam family "Bacterial small subunit ribosomal RNA", at positions 29 to 507 of the family's 1533-position model. The record is from RNAcentral.